UAUUAUAUACUUGAUGUUGAUAUCCUACGUGGAUAACUGUGGUAAUUCUAGAGCUAAUACAUGCACCAAAGCUCCGAUUUUUUGACGAGCGCAUCUAUUAGAUUAAAACCAAUCGGGUUUCGGCCCGUCAAUUGGUGACUCUGAAUAACUAUGGCUGAUCGCAUGGUCUUGAACCGGCGACGUGUCUAUCAAGUGUCUGCCUUAUCAACUGUCGAUGGUAGUUUAUGUGCCUACCAUGGUUGUAACGGGUAACGGAGAAUAAGGGUUCGACUCCGGAGAGGGAGCCUGAGAAACGGCUACCACAUCCAAGGAAGGCAGCAGGCGCGCAAAUUACCCACUCUCGGCAUGAGGAGGUAGUGACGAAAAAUAACGAGACCGUUCUCUCUGAGGCCGGUUAUCGGAAUGGGUACAAUUUAAACCCGUUAACGAGGAUCUAUGAGAGGGCAAGUCUGGUGCCAGCAGCCGCGGUAAUUCCAGCUCUCAAAGUGUAUAUCGUCAUUGCUGCGGUUAAAAAGCUCGUAGUUGGAUCUGCGCCUCAGGACUUGGUCCGCCCACUGGGCGAGAACUGGGCUCCUGGGCUAGUACUGCUGGUUUUCCCUACGUUGCCUUCAUCGGUCGCGUAGGGUGGCUAGCGAGUUUACUUUGAAAAAAUUAGAGUGCUUCACGCGGGCUUAUGUCUGAAUACUCGUGCAUGGAAUAAUAGAAUAGGAUCUCGGUUCUAUUUUGUUGGUUUUCUGAUCUGAGAUAAUGGUUAAGAGGGACGGACGGGGGCAUUCGUAUCGCUGCGUGAGAGGUGAAAUUCUUGGACCGUAGCGAGACGUCCGACUGCGAAAGCAUUUGCCAAGAAUGUCUUCAUUAAUCAAGAACGAAAGUCAGAGGUUCGAA
This 885-nucleotide ribosomal RNA is filed under the name Anisakis simplex (herring worm). Its description in RNAcentral is "SSU rRNA". It matches the Rfam family "Eukaryotic small subunit ribosomal RNA", at positions 111 to 1002 of the family's 1831-position model. The record is from RNAcentral. Lineage: Eukaryota; Metazoa; Nematoda; Chromadorea; Rhabditida; Anisakidae.